This 253-nucleotide ribosomal RNA is filed under the name uncultured bacterium. RNAcentral describes it as "partial 16S ribosomal RNA". It matches the Rfam family "Bacterial small subunit ribosomal RNA", at positions 524 to 776 of the family's 1533-position model. The record is from RNAcentral.
UACGAAGGGGGCUAGCGUUGUUCGGAAUCACUGGGCGUAAAGCGCACGUAGGCGGAUUUUUAAGUCAGGGGUGAAAUCCCGAGGCUCAACCUCGGAACUGCCUUUGAUACUGGAGAUCUUGAGUCCGGAAGAGGUAAGUGGAGCUGCGAGUGUAGAGGUGAAAUUCGUAGAUAUUCGCAAGAACACCAGUGGCGAAGGCGGCUUACUGGUCCGGAACUGACGCUGAGGUGCGAAAGCGUGGGGAGCAAACAGG